GACUUUAAAGAGACUGCCGGUGUUAAACCGGAGGAAGGUGGGGAUGACGUCAAGUCCUCAUGGCCUUUAUGCUUAGGGCUACACACGUGCUACAAUGGGUGGUACAAAGAGAAGCCAACUCGCGAGAGCGCGCCAAUCUCAAAAAGCCAUCCUCAGUUCGGAUUGGAGUCUGCAACUCGACUCCAUGAAGUUGGAAUCGCUAGUAAUCGCGGAUCAGCAUGCCGCGGUGAAUACGUUCCCGGGCCUU
RNAcentral lists this ribosomal RNA (247 nucleotides) under uncultured Smithella sp. RNAcentral's name for it is "partial 16S ribosomal RNA". It matches the Rfam family "Bacterial small subunit ribosomal RNA", at positions 1136 to 1382 of the family's 1533-position model. The record is from RNAcentral. Lineage: Bacteria; Pseudomonadati; Thermodesulfobacteriota; Syntrophia; Syntrophales; Smithellaceae.